Molecule: RNase P RNA, 398 nt
Filed under: Lusitaniella coriacea LEGE 07167
Lineage: Bacteria; Bacillati; Cyanobacteriota; Cyanophyceae; Spirulinales; Lusitaniellaceae
Also listed under: 1 other name
Description: RNase P RNA component class A
Rfam family: Bacterial RNase P class A
About the family: Ribonuclease P (RNase P) is a ubiquitous endoribonuclease, found in archaea, bacteria and eukarya as well as chloroplasts and mitochondria. Its best characterised activity is the generation of mature 5'-ends of tRNAs by cleaving the 5'-leader elements of precursor-tRNAs.
Source: RNAcentral
AGAGUUGGCGAGGAGGUUGCAGGCUGACACAAGCUGUCAGUUUGAGGAAAGUCCGGACUCCCGAAAGAUCGAACUUGCUGGGUAAUUCCCAGUGCGCGCGAGCGUGAGGAGAGUGCCACAGAAACAUACCGCCUUUUACAGCGAACAGCCGUCUUCACGGAUGAGGUGAUAACUAAAAAAGGUAAGGGUGCAAAGGUGCGGUAAGAGCGCACCAGCAGUAUCGAGAGGUGCUGGCUCGGUAAACCCCGGUUGGGAGCAAGGUCGGAGGGACUAGGGUUGGUCUUUUUCCCGUCCCGUUUUUGGCGAACCGCUUGAGGUGUCUGGUAACAGGCAUCCUAGAUAGAUAAUCUCCCUCUACACGAUAGAGAACAGAACCCGGCUUAUGUCCGACUCUCUUU